CUCCUCUCUGUAUGUUGAGUCAAGUUAAAAUUAGAAAUAUAACAAAAGUUCAGAACACAGCUCAGAACAUUUUUAGUGUAUAUGUCCAGAACCCAGAUAACCAAUUUUUGGUGGUUAAAACUCAAUACAAUUCAUAAAAUUUGAACUUUUUGCCACCCAAAUGGAGUUUAAAAUGAGCUUUUUUUCUAAUAUAAGCUUAGUUCACCUAUCAAACCACAUAUACCUCAGAACAGCAGGUCUAAUUUGUAUCAGUCAGUUUUUGAGAUUGGAGCUUUGAAAUAUUUGCUAAUAAUUUCCUGACUGUCUUCAUUUUUCUUUCCCUGAAGAUCCUCUGUGAGUUCUAAGACCCUGCAUUUUACCACAGGGGCAUCUGCUGGUUAAUUCAGCAGUUGGGUAACCACAGGACUCUGGUCCAACUCAGCCAACAAACCACAUGGCACAUUUCAACCCCGGCCUGUUGUAAUCGUGGGGACUAUUUUGGUUUCUUUCCCCUUCCAAGAGCUUGAGGAGAAUCACAAACAGGAACACCAGACAAUUCCAAUAAAAGGAACCAGGGGACACACAUCACUGCUUCCAUCCUCCUUUCAAACUAGUCAUCUGUGUCUUUAUUCUGUGUGCUCUGUAAUCCUUCCUAAUGAACUUUUCCAAAUGUCAUGCAGAAGGGCAAGGAAAAGAAUGAUGGUGGGAGAAAACACAUCUGGUUUGUCCCCCAAAGGCCGCUCUUCAAGAGGAGCUUGAAAAGAUCAAGGUGCACCAUGUCAUAAAUUAAAGGAGCUGUAGCUAAGUUAUUAGGAUAGAAGCCUUGGAUACCACUGUGGAUAUUGGAGACAUAUUGGUGGUACAGCCAAUCUUACCUUUAGGAUUACCUUGGAUUAUCCUCCAAGUCAGGCAGCAGAGACUGAAAUUUCUGGGGCAACAGCAAGUACGAGCCUGGUUAAGCACAGAAGGAUGUUUGAAUGCAGUCUUAUUUUAUAUGUGGUCAACUCUCCAGUGAACUAUUUUGGUUGUGACUUUUGCUUCCCUAUACAACUGCAGGAACUCGGAUAAUGAACAAUUAGAAAUAUGUAUCAGUAGACACACCAGCACAUAGACCUCAGUUACCAGCACUUGAAGAGAAUCCCAGAUGUUUUAAAGAAAAAUGCCUGAUAUUUCAAGUAUGCCACUUGUGGAGUUUUCAAGAGAUCUACAGUAAGCUGGUAUGAAGUGGGGUUGUUUAAAAUGAAGAAGUGAAUUGACAAUGUAGUACAUUGUACAGGUCUCCAAAUGACUGAACAUUCCUUUCAAGAUACUUUAAUUGGGAGAUUGGCCUGGUUUGACUUAUCUGCAUUUCAGGGGGUUCUAUGUAUUUAAAAUUACAUUAAAAUUGUUUGUAAGCUAGAUCACCUGAGGCAGACAAUACUUUUAGAAAGGUAGGAAAAUAAAGAUGCUGCAUCAAAUGUGGAGGGACCCAGGAAGAUGUUACUAAAAUAAACAGUUUUAAAAAUAUGCAGGGUUUGAAGAUUUCUAACCUAGAAUGUUGGAUGAGGAGGAUAAAAUAUCCUUUUAUUUUGAAUAUCUGUGAUUUUUCCAAAGUAUAAAUAAAAGAUCUCAGAGCUCCUAGCUGUUAUUUGCAAGCUCAGAUAAAUGCUGAUGACCUGUUUGCAGGAGAGCCAAAGUAGAACUGGAACUUAUAAAAGUGACACAGAUGACCUAAAAAUGAAUGAGCCAGCGGGUCAAUAUCUACAGAUAUGAAAACACUGGAAUGAUCCUUCCAGGUAGAGACUGUGUCUUAUGUCUUUUAUUUUUCCUCAUUAGAACUGGGCAUAUAAGUAAGCAAUUUCAUAAAUAAUUAUUGACACAUAAAAAUUCAUUUGGUGGGAUCAUUAUUUUUAAAACAACCUGGUCAGUCAGAUUAUUCCUUUCAAAUUAUUGGCUUCUAAAUCAUAGAGAAGUAAUUGGGUAAGGCUUUCAAUCCUGUCCUCUGUAGUAUUACAGUUUUAUAUAGAGGCAGCUUGCUGCAAAGUAAUACUGGUAAAUAAACUAGUAAACUGGCUGUCACAAAAAAGAAGUCCUGAUUUAUAGCAUAUGCCAAUUUCUGUGGUGUAAAUGCUCCCACUGAUGCUGGCCAAUUUAAAGCUUCCAAGAGUUUGACAAUAGGUUUUCAAAAUUCCUGAAUCUUUAACAGUUGGCUGUCCUGAGCCAGUACAAGUUGGCUCCAGCAAGCUACUGCUGCUGAGCCUUCAGUUACACGGGUGUUAGGUUUCAGGGCAGCCUGCUGUUCAUUAACUCUCAGACUCCUGAAGAAUUAUUUACCCUCUUGGCCCUGAGUUUCAUCAUCUAAAAUUAGGAGUCACCCCUUAUGCUAAUCCUUACCUUACGGAGUGUCUGGGGGAUUAAGUCAAACAAUGCCUGACAAAGUAUUUUGCAAACUCCCAAGCUUCAUACAAGUUAGGGUAUGGGCUUUCUUUACUCCUCUAAUUGGAAUCUCACCCUGACUUAUACUUACUCAUUUUCAAGACUCCACUAAGGUUUUAUUUUUUCUGGGAGAACUUUCCCAAAUCUCUCAGAAUUUACGAUCCCUUCUUUUGUCUCCUAUU
This is a long non-coding RNA of Neofelis nebulosa (Clouded leopard), 2576 nucleotides long. RefSeq lists it as uncharacterized. The transcript has 4 exons. The record is from RefSeq and is a predicted model, not a curated record. NCBI's taxonomy places the organism in Eukaryota, Metazoa, Chordata, Mammalia, Carnivora, Felidae.